UGGUGGCGAUGCGCUUAGGGGACACACCCGUUCCCAUCCCGAACACGAUGGUUAAGACCUAAGCGGCCGAUGGUACUGUACUGGAGACGGUACGGGAGAGUAGGUGGCUGCCA
RNAcentral lists this ribosomal RNA (113 nucleotides) under Carnobacterium sp. N15.MGS-207. The record is from RNAcentral. Lineage: Bacteria; Bacillati; Bacillota; Bacilli; Lactobacillales; Carnobacteriaceae.